RNAcentral lists this ribosomal RNA (462 nucleotides) under uncultured bacterium. Its description in RNAcentral is "SSU rRNA". It matches the Rfam family "Bacterial small subunit ribosomal RNA", at positions 26 to 518 of the family's 1533-position model. The record is from RNAcentral.
AGAACGAACGCUGGCGGCAUGCCUAACACAUGCAAGUCGAACGCUCACCGGGCUUCGGUUCGGUGGGAGUGGCGCACGGGUGAGUAGCGCGUGGGAACCUGCCCUGUUGUGGGGGAUAACCGAGGGAAACUUCGGCUAAUACCGCAUGCGCCCGGGGAAACCCGGGGAAAGAUUUAUCGCAGCAGGAGGGGCCCGCGUCGGAUUAGGUAGUUGGUAGGGUAACGGCCUACCAAGCCUUUGAUCCGUAGCUGGUCUGAGAGGAUGAUCAGCCACACUGGGACUGAGACACGGCCCAGACUCCUACGGGAGGCAGCAGUGGGGAAUAUUGGACAAUGGGCGCAAGCCUGAUCCAGCAAUGCCGCGUGAGUGAUGACGGCCUUAGGGUUGUAAAGCUCUUUCGCUCGGGACGAUAAUGACGGUACCGAGAUAAGAAGCCCCGGCUAACUUCGUGCCAGCAGCCGC